UCGAGGGGCAGCAUAAUUAUUGCUUGCAAUAAUUGAUGGCGACCGGCGCACGGGUGAGUAUCGCGUAUCCAACUUUCCCAUAACUAGGGGAUAAUCCGUCGAAAGGCGGUCUAAUACUCUAUGUUGUCUAUUUAUGGCCUCAUAUUUAGACGAAAGAUUUAUCGGUUAUGGUUAGGGAUGCGUCCGAUUAGGUAGUAGGCGGGGUAACAGCCCACCUAGCCAACGAUCGGUAGGGGUUCUGCGAGGAAGGUCCCCCACAUUGGAACUGAGACACGGUCCAAACUCCUACGGGAGGCAGCAGUGAGGAAUAUUGGUCAAUGGACGAGAGUCUGAACCAGCCAAGUAGCGUGCAGGAUGACGGCCCUAUGGGUUGUAAACUGCUUUUAUGCGGGAAUAAAGUGAUUUACGUGUAUAUCAUUGCAUGUACCGCAUGAAUAAGGACCGGCUAAUUCCGUGCCAGCAGCCGCGGUAAUACGGAAGGUUCGGGCGUUAUCCGGAUUUAUUGGGUUUAAAGGGAGCGUAGGCUGAAUAUUAAGCGUGUUGUGAAAUGUAGUUGCUCAACAUCUGCACUGCAGCGCGAACUGGUAUUCUUGAGUGUGCGCGACGUAGGCGGAAUUCGUGGUGUAGCGGUGAAAUGCUUAGAUAUCACGAAGAACUCCGAUUGCGAAGGCAGCUUACGAGAGCACAACUGACGCUUAAGCUCGAAGGUGCGGGUAUCGAACAGGAUU
This 728-nucleotide ribosomal RNA is filed under the name uncultured Prevotella sp. Its description in RNAcentral is "bacterial SSU rRNA". It matches the Rfam family "Bacterial small subunit ribosomal RNA", at positions 62 to 779 of the family's 1533-position model. Lineage: Bacteria; Pseudomonadati; Bacteroidota; Bacteroidia; Bacteroidales; Prevotellaceae. The record is from RNAcentral.